UUUAGAUCGGGAACGAGUGGAGACCUCGCUGAGGAUACAAGACCUGCCGGGGAGGAAGAAAAACAAAGAGGCCUGUGAGGAAAGGGGAAGAUCUAGCACUGAGAAUGACCAGCAGUCUCAAACAGUAUUAUAGUCAUGUAUGGUUAGAUGGUGGAUGGCAUCAAUUACGACAGCAAUGAAUGCACCGCUGCGAGACCUUAAAGGCCAAGUUGAAGACAGAUCAUCUGGGAGAGAAUCUAUGUUGUCACUAAGAGUCAACACCGACUUGACGGCACUUUAUCAUUCAAUCAAUCAAUCAAUCAAUCAAUCAAUGGUUAGAUGCCCCUAUUUAAAAUGAAUUUCUCUAUUUUCAAUGUCCCCUGCUAACUGAGCAAAGAGGCACUUUUAAAAAGUGUUUAUUCUCUUUAUUUAGCAGGGGGAGAGAGCAACUGGCCCUAUCCAUUCUUAGCACAGCACCCCUCCAGUGGCUGUUGCUGGUGUCUAUCUUAUAUUUCUUUUUUAGAUUGUGAGCCCUUUGGGGACAGGGUAGCCAUUUUAUUUAUUUAUUUAUAUCCAUGUAGACUGCUUUGGGAACUUCUGAUGAAAAGUGUUAUAUAAAUAUUUGUCGUAUUCAUUGUAUUAAUUUCUUUACUCUUUACUCUGCAUUUCUUUACUCUGCAUUUCUUUAAUCUGCAUUUCAUUUUCUAUGCUUUCAUCUGAUAUUAUCAUGCUCUGUCAUUUUUAUAGAUAGAGUGUGGCUCUUGAUUGCUAAGCCAAUGGAAACAGAUGAAAUGGUUUGUUCAGUGCUCUGAUGCUUGGGCAUUAAGAUGAUGUGGUUUAGUAAUGACUGAAUCCAGUUAAGACAGAGGUACUUAUUGUGCAGGGUCAGAACUCCAGAGACGAUUUUGAUCUACCUGUUCUAGAUGGGGUCACACUUCCCAAAAGGAACAGGUUCGCAGUCUGGGAGUACCUCUGGAUCCACACCUCUCCCUGGUUUCUCAGGUUGAGGCGGUGGCCAGGGGUGCUUUCUAUCAGCUUCAGCUGAUAUGCCAGCUGUGCCCGUUUCUCGAGAUCAGUGACCUCAAAACAGUGGUACAUUUGUUCGUAACCUCCAGGCUGGACUUCUGUAAUGUGCUCUACGUGGGGCUGCCUUUGUAUGUAGUCCGGAACCUUCAGUUGGUUUAGAAUGUGGCAGCCAGGUUGGUCUCUGGGUCAUCUCGGAGAGACCACAUUACUCCCAUGUUGAUUGAGCUAUACUGGCUGCCAAUAGGUUUCCGGGCAGAAUACAAAGUGCUAGUUAUAACUUAUAAAACCCUAAAUGGCUUAGGCCCUGGGUAUUUAAGAGAAUGUCUUCUUCGUUAUGUGCCCCACCGCCUAUUGAGGUCACUUGAGGAGGUCCGUCUCCAUUUACCGCCAGCUCGUCGGGUGAUCACAUGGAGACGAGCCUUCUCGAUUGCUGCCCCGAGAUUGUGGAAUGUGCUCCCUGCUCAGAUACAAUCCUCCCCAUCUGGCAGUUUUUAAAAAAGUCUGAAGACCCAACUCUUCACCCAAGCUUUUUCAGCUUUUUUAAUUUGUAGGUUUUAAUUUUAUGCUGUUUUUAAAUUGUUAAACUGUUUUAACCUUUUAUAUUUGUUUUAAUUGUUUUUAUGUCAUUGUUAACUGCCCAGAGAUGAAAGUUUGGGCGGUAUACAAGUUAAAUAAAUACAUAAAUAAUAGUCCAGA
Long non-coding RNA from Hemicordylus capensis (graceful crag lizard), 1701 nucleotides. RefSeq lists it as uncharacterized. The transcript is spliced from 2 exons. The record is from RefSeq and is a predicted model, not a curated record. NCBI's taxonomy places the organism in Eukaryota, Metazoa, Chordata, Lepidosauria, Squamata, Cordylidae.